This 388-nucleotide ribosomal RNA is filed under the name uncultured Glomus. RNAcentral describes it as "SSU rRNA". It matches the Rfam family "Eukaryotic small subunit ribosomal RNA", at positions 569 to 962 of the family's 1831-position model. Lineage: Eukaryota; Fungi; Glomeromycota; Glomeromycetes; Glomerales; Glomeraceae. The record is from RNAcentral.
AGCAGCCGCGGUAAUUCCAGCUCCAAUAGCGUAUAUUAAAGUUGUUGCAGUUAAAAAGCUCGUAGUUGAAUUUCGGGGUUAGCAAGUUGGUCGUGCCUUCGGUAUGCACUGGCUUUGCUGAUUCCUCCUUCUUGAAGAACUGUGAUGCUAUUAAUUUGGUGUUGCAGGGAAACAGGACUGUUACUUUGAAAAAUUAGAGUGUUUAAAGCAGGCUAACGCUUGAAUACAUUAGCAUGGAAUAAUGAAAUAGGACGUUUGAUCCUAUUUUGUUGGUUUCUAGGAUUGACGUAAUGAUUAAUAGGGAUAGUUGGGGGCAUUAGUAUUCAAUUGUCAGAGGUGAAAUUCUUGGAUUUAUUGAAGACUAACUACUGCGAAAGCAUUUGCCAAG